GAUGAACGCUGGCGGCGUGCCUAAUACAUGCAAGUCGAGCGAACAGACGAGGAGCUUGCUCCUCUGACGUUAGCGGCGGACGGGUGAGUAACACGUGGAUAACCUACCUAUAAGACUGGUAUAACUUCGGGAAACCGGAGCUAAUACCGGAUAAUAUAUUGAACCGCAUGGUUCAAUAGUGAAAGACGGUUUUGCUGUCACUUAUAGAUGGAUCCGCGCCGCAUUAGCUAGUUGGUAAGGUAACGGCUUACCAAGGCAACGAUGCGUAGCCGACCUGAGAGGGUGAUCGGCCACACUGGAACUGAGACACGGUCCAGACUCCUACGGGAGGCAGCAGUAGGGAAUCUUACGCAAUGGGCGAAAGCCUGACGGAGCAACGCCGCGUGAGUGAUGAAGGUCUUCGGAUCGUAAAACUCUGUUAUUAGGGAAGAACAAAUGUGUAAGUAACUAUGCACGUCUUGACGGUACCUAAUCAGAAAGCCACGGCUAACUACGUG
Molecule: ribosomal RNA, 497 nt
Filed under: uncultured bacterium
Lineage: Bacteria
Description: partial 16S ribosomal RNA
Rfam family: Bacterial small subunit ribosomal RNA
Source: RNAcentral